GACGGAUUAAACCAGACGAGAUCCGAUUCGAUAUUUAGGACAACACUGGUUUGGUCGAACUCAGAUAAAAAUUUAUCCGUCACCAAAACACAGCUGAUUUGAUUAUCCUACAGUGUGGGCUGAAGAACAAAUGGGAUCAGAUGAAUUCGCACCCGUAAUUUAUAUCCAAAGUUUUGGAUCGGGCAAGAAACGACAGACCGAAUUAAACUGAUUUCGGCACUGAUAAUUUGUUCGGCGUGAUUCGACCGAAAUUAGCCGAAACACAAUAUGCGAACGUAUACGCGAUUUUUGUCGUCGAAACCGCGUGCUGAAGAAUUAAUUGGAUUAUAACCUCGCGCAUGAUUUCGCGCGAUUCAAAUUAUUUUACCCCGAACAUUUUAGUCGUCGAGUUCAACUAAUUUGCCCGGGAUAACAAUCAUCUUAGUGAGUCGGACUUCCAAAUUCGUAUUCGCGCGAGCGAUGAGUUUUAAAUAAUCACCGGACGCACCGAUGUUCGGAACGACUACGUUCCGAAUAAUAUGGAAAUUUCGGAAGAGCCCGGAUAGAUAAAAAUAAAAACGACGUCGCACUCACGACAGACGGAACAGAUGCGAUAUUAAAAUCGUGAUAGGCAAAAAUAAUUAGACCUUAGUGUCCGUCUUAUUUACUGAUAUCACGUGCUUAAAUUCGUACUCAUUGUCGAGCGGAAUAUAAACACCUGGGGUGUUACAGCCCUCCCCCUUAAAAGAAUCUCGUCCCGAGAUUCGGAGCGAAAGACUUUUAAGAGUAGAGAAGCAUGUAAACCACGUCCAUAUCAGCGGUAAUCACAAGGCAGUCUUGAGCGAAGGCGAGUGCCUCAGGAUGUGGUUUCUCUAGCGGACAUAACAUGUAUUGCCUUAGGCCAAUUUAGAGAUGUCCACCAAUAGAGACGAUGUCUGCCAGAGGAACAUAUAAGGUUCCAUGUGUGCAGUUUGCUUUUUUUGAUGACACUAUACUAUCUGAGUCUGUCGAGCGAGCGGCAAAUACACGACUUUACCCAAACAGAAUCAGAUGCACCAUCUUGGGUAAAACACACAGAAAGAGGUUUACCAACAAGUGGUCACAAUGAGUUCGUAGCACACGAGACGGGUGUGAAUGUCGAAUAACAUCACAUUUAACUCGUGGCUAGCUAGAAAAUCCAAGUCCAAGAAAAUGAUAGACUUGCAAAAUCACCAGCGAAGGGAUAGGCAGAUG
RNAcentral lists this long non-coding RNA (1212 nucleotides) under Zea mays. Its description in RNAcentral is "drought responsive lncRNA". The record is from RNAcentral. Lineage: Eukaryota; Viridiplantae; Streptophyta; Magnoliopsida; Poales; Poaceae.